CAGCCGCCGCGGUAAUACGGGGGGAGCAAGCGUUGUUCGGAUUUACUGGGCGUAAAGGGCGCGUAGGCGGCGCAACAAGUCACUUGUGAAAUCUCCGGGCUUAACCCGGAGCGGCCAAGUGAUACUGUCGUGCUAGAGUGCGGAAGGGGCUACUGGAAUUCUCGGUGUAGCGGUGAAAUGCGUAGAUAUCGAGAGGAACACCUGCGGCGAAGGCGGGUAGCUGGGCCGACACUGACGCUGAGGCGCGAAAGCCAGGGGAGCGAACGGG
Molecule: ribosomal RNA, 268 nt
Filed under: uncultured prokaryote
Description: partial 16S ribosomal RNA
Rfam family: Bacterial small subunit ribosomal RNA
Source: RNAcentral